GUGAGGAAUUUUCCGCAAUGGGCGAAAGCCUGACGGAGCAAUGCCGCGUGAAGGAUGAAGGUCUAUGGGUUGUAAACUUCUUUUCUCAGAAAAGAAUUAUGACGGUAUCUGAGGAAUAAGCAUCGGCUAACUCUGUGCCAGCAGCCGCGGUAAGACAGAGGAUGCAAGCGUUAUCCGGAAUGAUUGGGCGUAAAGCGUCUGUAGGUUGUUUAAAAAGUAUUCUGUCAAAGAUUAGGGCUUAACUAUAGAUAGGCAGAAUAAACUUUUAAGCUAGAGUGUGGUAGAGGCAGAGGGAAUUCCCGGUGGAGCGGUGAAAUGCGUAGAUAUCGAGAGGAACACCAAAGGCGAAGGCACUCUGCUGGGCCAAUACUAACACUGAGAGACGAAAGCGAGGGGAGCAAAUGGGAUUAGAAACCCCAGUAGUCC
RNAcentral lists this ribosomal RNA (426 nucleotides) under uncultured bacterium. Its description in RNAcentral is "partial 16S ribosomal RNA". It matches the Rfam family "Bacterial small subunit ribosomal RNA", at positions 354 to 796 of the family's 1533-position model. The record is from RNAcentral.